RNAcentral lists this ribosomal RNA (443 nucleotides) under uncultured bacterium. RNAcentral describes it as "partial 16S ribosomal RNA". It matches the Rfam family "Bacterial small subunit ribosomal RNA", at positions 338 to 795 of the family's 1533-position model. The record is from RNAcentral.
CCUACGGGUGGCAGCAGUGGGGAAUAUUGGGCGAUGGGCGCAAGCCUGACCCAGCAACGCCGCGUGAAGGAAGAAGGCUUUCGGGUUGUAAACUUCUUUUCUGAGGGACGAAGAAAGUGACGGUACCUCAGGAAUAAGCCACGGCUAACUACGUGCCAGCAGCCGCGGUAAUACGUAGGUGGCAAGCUUUAUCCGGAUUUAUUGGGUGUAAAGGGCGUGUAGGCGGGAAAGCAAGUCAGAUGUGAAAACUCAGGGCUAAACCCUGAGCCUGCAAUUGAAACUGUUUUUCUUGAGUGCUGGAGAGGCAAUCGGAAUUCCGAGUGUAGCGGUGAAAUGCGGAGAUAUACGGAGGAACAGCAGUGGCGAAGGCGGAUUGCUGGACAGUAACUGACGCUGAGGCGCGAAAGCGUGGGGAGCAAACAGGAUUAGAUACCCGGGUAGUC